GGUAGGCACGUGAGUUCACAUCGAUCGAGACUUCAUCCUUCUACAUUAGAAGCAUUAGUAUGUACACAAAAUUGGUUGAAGACUGACAAAAAAGCAACAGUGAAUGAUGAAGAUAAUGAUGUUGAUCCAACAAUGGAGCCUUACGUAGUUGAUCUUGAUGAUUAGAGAGUACAUUGUUCUUUUUAGUAUAUGAGUGAGGACAUGGAUGAGAACAAAUUGUAGUGUUUAGUACUUAUGGUUGCUAGUUAUUAUAUUUGAGUUUAUGGUUGGUAGUUAUUAUUGAUGUAUUAAACAUUGUUAGUAACAAAAGUACAAUCUCAAACUUUCCUCUAUUAUGCAUAAUUGAAUCACUCAUUUAUUCAUUAUAACAAAAAUGCAAUUAUCCAUUGAAAACCUUAGUUUCCAACCUUAUCUAUUAUUAAAGUAAAAUUGAAAAAAAAAACAUUACCAUCACACCCUUAUAAUUCUCUUCAUUAAAAAUAAAUUGACUUACAUAAUUAUUAUAAUAUUGAUUUUAAAACAUAAUCAAACAGCAUAAUA
Molecule: long non-coding RNA, 540 nt
Organism: Cannabis sativa
Lineage: Eukaryota; Viridiplantae; Streptophyta; Magnoliopsida; Rosales; Cannabaceae
Exons: 3
Source: RefSeq, a predicted model, not a curated record